AAACAUGCAUACGUGCCACUUCUUAACAAAUGACGUUGAAUUUCAACCCAUCUUGGAUUACACGUUACUGUUAAGAAUAAAUCUGGAUAUCCAUACCUCUUGCACAAUGCCAUUGCAUCUUGACAAUUAUUAAACAUAUACCGUCUACCUCCAGUAAAAGAAGAUGGCAAAACAAUUCGUGCACCUAUCGAAGAUGCAUCAAUAUCACCACGAUCAACAGCUUCUUCAAUCCCAGAUAAAAAACCAGAUCGAAUAGUACUUUGAUUCUCUCUAUAAAAAGACAACCUUUGAGCCUCAAGCAUUGAAUACGAAUCUACGACGAAUUGCUGAAAUAGUCGUCUACCUUUUAAAAUAACUGAAUCUUCAAUUAUCCUUUCUUGUAACCUAAACGCCAGAAAUUCCCUCAAAGAAACACGAAUGCGUUUGUUAACACUUGUGGAAGUUGAAAUUUGAUUGCGUUCAAUAUGUUCAUUAAAUUGAUCUUCCCCAUAAGGAAAUAACAACGGAUACUGAAGUGGUAAGUACUUUGGAUGAGUUUCAUGUAUACGCUUAAGAUAUCCAUCUUUCUCAUUAACAAUGAUAUCCC
Molecule: long non-coding RNA, 586 nt
Filed under: Trifolium pratense (red clover)
Lineage: Eukaryota; Viridiplantae; Streptophyta; Magnoliopsida; Fabales; Fabaceae
Description: long non-coding RNA (TPRA_LNC010418)
Source: RNAcentral